GGCUGGCUACAGGUGUGUCUGACCACGCUUGUGAGGGCGUGGUCAGAGUGACAUAGUGUGACUGUGUUUGCUCUUUUGGUUUCACUUUGCUUCUUGCUGUACAGGCUGCUGCCACGCUGGCUGGCUAGGUCGCUCUGAAAAUUGUAGCCACAUGUAGAAUGUCCUAAGAAUGACAAGAUCAAUGCAUCUGAGGAGUAAGAGAGACUGAUGAUCUGCUCCAAGGAGGCUGCUCACAAAUGAUCCCUCAGAGUCACAACAGAGCAUCAACGAACAAUGAACAGUGUCUAUGGGGACUUGGUUCUUUCAGGUCUGCUUUAACUUAUGCUUGCAAAGCACAGACCUCAGGACUGACUCACAGAAGGCUCUUCUCUGACAGAACAACAGCUUUCCACAAUUUGGGAAAGCACAGACCACCUUUAUCUAAGAUUUCAGCAGAAGGACCUAUUACUGUUCAUUCGAUAAUGGGACAUUGUAAUGAAACUGAGAUAAUAAAAAGCAUAUGUGUUUGGAACUGGUUCAAAUGGGGCAAUGAAUUUAUUCUAUUUUUUUCUGAGUGAGAUCAAGCUUUUAGAAUUAAAGGAGAUAAGGAGCAGAGAAGUCAAAAAGCAAUGAAUGUAGGAUCUAGAUGUUAGAACAAAUAGACUUUAAAAAUGUUUUACAGUAAGUAAUAGAGCAUUGGCCAAAUAAGGUAAAGUCAGAUAAUUAUUCCAUUUCUUAUAGACUGUUCAAGUGCAAACAUUAGAACAUGCAUUCAAUAGAGCUGUUGACCUUCCCCACCCUCACAAUGGGAUCACAAAGAAGAAGAUGUGAUGUAG
RNAcentral lists this long non-coding RNA (815 nucleotides) under Cricetulus griseus (Chinese hamster). RNAcentral's name for it is "lncRNA (ENSCGRG00015033614.1)". The record is from RNAcentral. Lineage: Eukaryota; Metazoa; Chordata; Mammalia; Rodentia; Cricetidae.